This 201-nucleotide ribosomal RNA is filed under the name uncultured bacterium. Its description in RNAcentral is "partial 16S ribosomal RNA". It matches the Rfam family "Bacterial small subunit ribosomal RNA", at positions 338 to 530 of the family's 1533-position model. The record is from RNAcentral.
CCUACGGGAGGCAGCAGUAGGGAAUCUUCGGCAAUGGGGGCAACCCUGACCGAGCAACGCCGCGUGAGUGAAGAAGGUUUUCGGAUCGUAAAGCUCUGUUGUAAGAGAAGAACGUGUGUGAGAGUGGAAAGUUCACACAGUGACGGUAACUUACCAGAAAGGGACGGCUAACUACGUGCCAGCAGCCGCGGUAAUACGUAG